This is a long non-coding RNA of Etheostoma cragini (Arkansas darter), 636 nucleotides long. RefSeq lists it as uncharacterized. The record is from RefSeq and is a predicted model, not a curated record. The transcript has 2 exons. NCBI's taxonomy places the organism in Eukaryota, Metazoa, Chordata, Actinopteri, Perciformes, Percidae.
UCUAACUCUGUUUGGACUCUGCAGCCCUCCAGUCUCCCAUCGAGUACCAGAGGAAAGAGGGCGGGAUCUCCGUAACCCGGCCGCUGUCGUCAGGGCGACCACCGUCAGCCCUGCCUACGCCCAACGGCCACGCCCCUCAGCCCCCGCCCGACAGCGAGCAGGACGACCAGGAGCUGGUCCUGGUCCAGCAGGACUUCGUGGCGGUCCGUGAGGACGAGAUCUCUGUGUUCCGGGGGGAGAAGGUCCAGAUCCUGGCGUCCAAUCAGCAGGGCCAGAGCCUGGUGUACCGGCCCGCCAACAGUGAUUCGCCGGCCGCCGAGGGCUGGGUGGCCCGGAGCGCCCUCGGCGCACACUGACACACACACAUACACACACACACACACACACACAAUGAAGCUAACGGCUAACGGGGCCAAAAGCAUGCUGGGAAAAUGCUCUCAUGACAGCCAUAAGAUAGAGACAUCACCCUGAAAUAUCAAAACAAUCUGGGAAACUAUGGACUACAAGUAUGGACUACAACUAUGGAUCUCUGUUUAAGUUCAUCUCAAACCUGUAGGGCUGGGACUGACAACAGCCUUUUAUUUAACAAAUUAAAAGCACUUCCUGUUGCAGGUUUUCUAGUCAUCCAUACUAAAA